RNAcentral lists this transfer RNA (623 nucleotides) under uncultured Prochlorococcus sp. RNAcentral describes it as "partial 16S-23S ribosomal RNA intergenic spacer". The stretch from base 223 to 295 matches the Rfam family "tRNA". Lineage: Bacteria; Bacillati; Cyanobacteriota; Cyanophyceae; Synechococcales; Prochlorococcaceae. The record is from RNAcentral.
UAUUGAUGUCUGAUUUUGAUUUCAGGCCAUAAUCCUGUCACCUUAGGUCGAUCGGUACCUCAGAUAAAAAAUUAAAUUUUUUUAGUUUUUAAUUUCAGUUCCUAAACUUGUCUAGGUCACACCCAACAAACUUUCUCCUGGGCUAUUAGCUCAGGCGGUUAGAGCGCACCCCUGAUAAGGGUGAGGUCCCUGGUUCAAGUCCAGGAUGGCCCAUUCGUAGUUGGGGGUAUAGCUCAGUUGGUAGAGCGCCUGCUUUGCAAGCAGGAUGUCAGCGGUUCGAGUCCGCUUACCUCCACUGAUCAACUACCUGAUAACUCAAUUGGGAGAUUGUCAAUUGUUUGAGUUGACUUAGAUAUUGUUCAUCUGAAUGAACCUAGCUUCCUGUCAUUCCUAAAACUUAGGUUGAUAAGACGCUGGGCUCUCUGGUUAUUUUAUUAUAAUCAGGUUGAUUCAGCAGAACCUUGACAACUGCAUAGGAAAGUCUGGAAAGAAAAAAGCAUCUCAUAGAUGCAUAGAUAUUUAAUAUUCAGAAUUUCUGAAAAUAUUGGAUUUCUAUGAUUAAUUCUUGAGUUAGAGCAAAAUUUUCUAUUGAAAAAUUUACUUAUAAAUUAAUCAAUGGAUAU